This is a non-coding RNA of Marmota flaviventris (yellow-bellied marmot), 707 nucleotides long. Lineage: Eukaryota; Metazoa; Chordata; Mammalia; Rodentia; Sciuridae. The record is from RefSeq and is a predicted model, not a curated record.
AUCUAUGGAGAUGUAAGAAUAUUACUGAGAAUGGAAUAGCGGAAUUGGCUUCUGGAUGUCCACUUCUGGAGGAACUUGACCUUGGCUGGUGUCCUACUCUGCAGAGCAGUACCGGGUGCUUCGCCAGAUUGGCACGCCAGCUCCCAAACUUGCAAAAACUAUUUCUUACAGCUAAUAGAUCUGUGUGUGACACAGAUAUAGAAGAACUUGCAUGUAAUUGUAUCAGAUUACGGCAACUGGACAUAUUAGGAACAAGAAUGGUAAGUCCAGCAUCCUUAAGAAAACUCCUGGAAUCUUGUAAAGAUCUUUCCUUACUUGAUGUAUCCUUCUGUUCACAGAUUGAUAACAGAGCUGUAUUAGAACUGAAUGCAGCCUUUCCAAAAGUGUUCAUAAAAAAGAGCUUUACUCAGUGACUUAAUAUAUAUUAUGUCACUAAAAGUUGAUAUGCUUUGUAAGGAUUUUAUUUGGGGGUGGUUUGGUUGUAUCUUUUGUUUUUAUAAUGGUGAGAAUUAAGACAUUUGUGGAUUUUAAAGAAAAAUAUGAAAUUUCCCAUUGAAUCAAGUAAAAAAUGUGAAGAAAUGUUCUCACAAAAUACUGUAAGCCAUUUUCAUCAAGAAUAUGUUAGUCACUGAUAUUAUUUUUACUUUGUGUUAAAGUGGAAUUAUGUUUUAAUCAAUAAUUGUGUUAAUAAAAGAAUAAUAUGAAAA